This 410-nucleotide unclassified non-coding RNA is filed under the name Hevea brasiliensis (rubber tree). Lineage: Eukaryota; Viridiplantae; Streptophyta; Magnoliopsida; Malpighiales; Euphorbiaceae. The record is from RNAcentral.
AUAUGUAGCUUCAUCAAAAUUGUUUAGAAACAGAUAACAAUGGAAUUCAACCCUAUUAGCUACAUAUCAAAUCCUGAAGCUCAAAAGCAUGCCUUGUCAAAUUAAGGCUCAUAAUACAAUUUAUGGAAGCAGUUCUCCUCUUCUUUACAAUCUGCCAAAACUUAACUUUUCCACUGAACUUGGCAAGGCUGUUCAACUUCAAAAUCCCCGAAUUUAUGUCCUUGCUUAACUUUUCAGUAUCCGAUAAUCUAUAUGAUCUCACAUCCACCUUAACCUUUAUCUUUUCUUUCCCUCUAGCUCUGACUAGCCCCUUCCCUAUUAUCGCUUUUCCCACUGUCGUGCCUCCAUAUAACACAUUUGCAGUCGAAUUCUCGAACUUGAACAUCCCAAAAUUCUGAUUCUCGAUCGAG